GACGUAGGCGGUCUGUCAAGUCGGAUGUGAAAUCUCCCGGCUCAACUGGGAGGGUGCAUUCGAUACUGAUGGACUAGAGUGCAGCAGAGGAAAGUAGAAUUCCCGGUGUAGUGGUGAAAUGCGUAGAUAUCGGGAAGAAUACUAGUGGCGAAGGCGGCUUUCUGGGCUGUAACUGACGCUGAGGUCCGAAGGCGUGGGUAGCAAACAGGAUUAGAUACCCUGGUAGUCC
This 229-nucleotide ribosomal RNA is filed under the name uncultured bacterium. RNAcentral describes it as "partial 16S ribosomal RNA". It matches the Rfam family "Bacterial small subunit ribosomal RNA", at positions 568 to 796 of the family's 1533-position model. The record is from RNAcentral.